This 563-nucleotide ribosomal RNA is filed under the name uncultured bacterium. Its description in RNAcentral is "bacterial SSU rRNA". It matches the Rfam family "Bacterial small subunit ribosomal RNA", at positions 936 to 1498 of the family's 1533-position model. The record is from RNAcentral.
AGCAUGUGGUUUAAUUCGAUGCAACGCGAAGAACCUUACCUACCCUUGACAUCCAGAGAAUCUGUUAGAGAUAGUAGAGUGCCUUCGGGACCUCUGAGACAGGUGCUGCAUGGCUGUCGUCAGCUCGUGUCGUGAGAUGUUGGGUUAAGUCCCGUAACGAGCGCAACCCUUAUCCUUAGUUGCUAGCAGGUCAUGCUGAGAACUCUAGGGAGACUGCCGGUGAUAAACCGGGGGAAGGUGGGGACGACGUCAAGUCAUCAUGGCCCUUAUGGGUAGGGCUACACACGUGCUACAAUGGUCGGUACAGAGGGCCGCGAACUCGCGAGAGCCAGCAAAUCCCAGAAAGCCGAUCUUAGUCCGGAUUGCAGUCUGCAACUCGACUGCAUGAAGUUGGAAUCGCUAGUAAUCGCAGAUCAGAAUGCUGCGGUGAAUACGUUCCCGGGCCUUGUACACACCGCCCGUCACACCAUGGGAGUGGGUUGCAAAAGAAGUGGGUAGUCUAACUUUCGAGAGGGCGCUCACCACUUUGUGAUUCAUGACUGGGGUGAAGUCGUAACAAGGUA